This 2311-nucleotide ribosomal RNA is filed under the name Escherichia coli. Its description in RNAcentral is "partial 23S ribosomal RNA". It matches the Rfam family "Bacterial large subunit ribosomal RNA", at positions 1 to 2327 of the family's 2925-position model. Lineage: Bacteria; Pseudomonadati; Pseudomonadota; Gammaproteobacteria; Enterobacterales; Enterobacteriaceae. The record is from RNAcentral.
GGGUUGUGAGGUUAAGCGACUAAGCGUACACGGUGGAUGCCCUGGCAGUCAGAGGCGAUGAAGGACGUGCUAAUCUGCGAUAAGCGUCGGUAAGGUGAUAUGAACCGUUAUAACCGGCGAUUUCCGAAUGGGGAAACCCAGUGUGUUUCGACACACUAUCAUUAACUGAAUCCAUAGGUUAAUGAGGCGAACCGGGGGAACUGAAACAUCUAAGUACCCCGAGGAAAAGAAAUCAACCGAGAUUCCCCCAGUAGCGGCGAGCGAACGGGGAGCAGCCCAGAGCCUGAAUCAGUGUGUGUGUUAGUGGAAGCGUCUGGAAAGGCGCGCGAUACAGGGUGACAGCCCCGUACACAAAAAUGCACAUAUUGUGAGCUCGAUGAGUAGGGCGGGACACGUGGUAUCCUGUCUGAAUAUGGGGGGACCAUCCUCCAAGGCUAAAUACUCCUGACUGACCGAUAGUGAACCAGUACCGUGAGGGAAAGGCGAAAAGAACCCCGGCGAGGGGAGUGAAAAAGAACCUGAAACCGUGUACGUACAAGCAGUGGGAGCACGCUUAGGCGUGUGACUGCGUACCUUUUGUAUAAUGGGUCAGCGACUUAUAUUCUGUAGCAAGGUUAACCGAAUAGGGGAGCCGAAGGGAAACCGAGUCUUAACUGGGCGUUAAGUUGCAGGGUAUAGACCCGAAACCCGGUGAUCUAGCCAUGGGCAGGUUGAAGGUUGGGUAACACUAACUGGAGGACCGAACCGACUAAUGUUGAAAAAUUAGCGGAUGACUUGUGGCUGGGGGUGAAAGGCCAAUCAAACCGGGAGAUAGCUGGUUCUCCCCGAAAGCUAUUUAGGUAGCGCCUCGUGAAUUCAUCUCCGGGGGUAGAGCACUGUUUCGGCAAGGGGGUCAUCCCGACUUACCAACCCGAUGCAAACUGCGAAUACCGGAGAAUGUUAUCACGGGAGACACACGGCGGGUGCUAACGUCCGUCGUGAAGAGGGAAACAACCCAGACCGCCAGCUAAGGUCCCAAAGUCAUGGUUAAGUGGGAAACGAUGUGGGAAGGCCCAGACAGCCAGGAUGUUGGCUUAGAAGCAGCCAUCAUUUAAAGAAAGCGUAAUAGCUCACUGGUCGAGUCGGCCUGCGCGGAAGAUGUAACGGGGCUAAACCAUGCACCGAAGCUGCGGCAGCGACACUAUGUGUUGUUGGGUAGGGGAGCGUUCUGUAAGCCUGUGAAGGUGUGCUGUGAGGCAUGCUGGAGGUAUCAGAAGUGCGAAUGCUGACAUAAGUAACGAUAAAGCGGGUGAAAAGCCCGCUCGCCGGAAGACCAAGGGUUCCUGUCCAACGUUAAUCGGGGCAGGGUGAGUCGACCCCUAAGGCGAGGCCGAAAGGCGUAGUCGAUGGGAAACAGGUUAAUAUUCCUGUACUUGGUGUUACUGCGAAGGGGGGACGGAGAAGGCUAUGUUGGCCGGGCGACGGUUGUCCCGGUUUAAGCGUGUAGGCUGGUUUUCCAGGCAAAUCCGGAAAAUCAAGGCUGAGGCGUGAUGACGAGGCACUACGGUGCUGAAGCAACAAAUGCCCUGCUUCCAGGAAAAGCCUCUAAGCAUCAGGUAACAUCAAAUCGUACCCCAAACCGACACAGGUGGUCAGGUAGAGAAUACCAAGGCGCUUGAGAGAACUCGGGUGAAGGAACUAGGCAAAAUGGUGCCGUAACUUCGGGAGAAGGCACGCUGAUAUGUAGGUGAAGUCCCUCGCGGAUGGAGCUGAAAUCAGUCGAAGAUACCAGCUGGCUGCAACUGUUUAUUAAAAACACAGCACUGUGCAAACACGAAAGUGGACGUAUACGGUGUGACGCCUGCCCGGUGCCGGAAGGUUAAUUGAUGGGGUUAGCCGCAAGGCGAAGCUCUUGAUCGAAGCCCCGGUAAACGGCGGCCGUAACUAUAACGGUCCUAAGGUAGCGAAAUUCCUUGUCGGGUAAGUUCCGACCUGCACGAAUGGCGUAAUGAUGGCCAGGCUGUCUCCACCCGAGACUCAGUGAAAUUGAACUCGCUGUGAAGAUGCAGUGUACCCGCGGCAAGACGGAAAGACCCCGUGAACCUUUACUAUAGCUUGACACUGAACAUUGAGCCUUGAUGUGUAGGAUAGGUGGGAGGCUUUGAAGUGUGGACGCCAGUCUGCAUGGAGCCGACCUUGAAAUACCACCCUUUAAUGUUUGAUGUUCUAACGUGGACCCGUAAUCCGGGUUGCGGACAGUGUCUGGUGGGUAGUUUGACUGGGGCGGUCUCCUCCUAAAGAGUAACGGAGGAGCACGAAGGUUGGCUAAUCC